RNAcentral lists this ribosomal RNA (974 nucleotides) under gut metagenome. RNAcentral's name for it is "bacterial LSU rRNA". It matches the Rfam family "Bacterial large subunit ribosomal RNA", at positions 1942 to 2910 of the family's 2925-position model. The record is from RNAcentral.
AUAACGGUCCUAAGGUAGCGAAAUUCCUUGUCGGGUAAGUUCCGACCUGCACGAAUGGCAUAAUGAUGGCGGCGCUGUCUCCAGCAGAGGCUCAGUGAAAUCGAAAUCGCUGUGAAGAUGCAGUGUACCCGCGGCUAGACGGAAAGACCCCGUGAACCUUUACUGCAGCUUGACAUUGAACUUUGACCUUACUUGUGUAGGAUAGGUGGGAGGCUUUGAAGUUGGAACGCCAGUUCCAAUGGAGCCGUCCUUGAAAUACCACCCUGGUAAUGUUGAGGUUCUAACUCUGUCCCGUUAUCCGGGACGAGGACCAUGUCUGGUGGGUAGUUUGACUGGGGCGGUCUCCUCCUAAAGAGUAACGGAGGAGUACGAAGGUGCGCUCAGCGUGGUCGGAAAUCACGCGUAGAGUAUAAAGGCAAAAGCGCGCUUAACUGCGAGACCCACAAGUCGAGCAGGUACGAAAGUAGGUCUUAGUGAUCCGGUGGUUCUGUAUGGAAGGGCCAUCGCUCAACGGAUAAAAGGUACUCUGGGGAUAACAGGCUGAUACCGCCCAAGAGUUCAUAUCGACGGCGGUGUUUGGCACCUCGAUGUCGGCUCAUCUCAUCCUGGGGCUGAAGCAGGUCCCAAGGGUAUGGCUGUUCGCCAUUUAAAGAGGUACGCGAGCUGGGUUUAGAACGUCGUGAGACAGUUCGGUCCCUAUCUACCGUGGGCGCUGGAAAUUUGAGAGGAUCUGCUCCUAGUACGAGAGGACCAGAGUGGACGAACCUCUGGUGUACCGGUUGUGACGCCAGUCGCAUCGCCGGGUAGCUAUGUUCGGAAGGGAUAACCGCUGAAAGCAUCUAAGCGGGAAGCCUACCUCAAGAUAAGAUUUCCCUAGGACUUUAUGUCCUCUAAAGAGCCGUUGAAGACUACGACGUUGAUAGGUUGGAUGUGGAAGCAUAGUGAUAUGUGAAGCUGACCAAUACUAAUUGCUC